GAGUUUGAUCGUGGCUCAGGACGAACGCUGGCGGCGUGCUUAACACAUGCAAGUCGAACGAUGAAGGGGAGCUUGCUCCUUGGAUUAGUGGCGAACGGGUGAGUAACACGUGAGUAACCUGCCCUUGACUCUGGGAUAAGCGUUGGAAACGACGUCUAAUACCGGAUAUGACCUGUGACGGCAUCAUCUGCAGGUGGAAAGAAUUUUGGUCAAGGAUGGACUCGCGGCCUAUCAGGUAGUUGGUGAGGUAACGGCUCACCAAGCCGACGACGGGUAGCCGGCCUGAGAGGGUGACCGGCCACACUGGGACUGAGACACGGCCCAGACUCCUACGGAGGCAGCAGUGGGGAAUAUUGCACAAUGGGCGAAAGCCUGAUGCAGCAACGCCGCGUGAGGGACGACGGCCU
RNAcentral lists this ribosomal RNA (407 nucleotides) under uncultured bacterium. RNAcentral describes it as "bacterial SSU rRNA". It matches the Rfam family "Bacterial small subunit ribosomal RNA", at positions 9 to 417 of the family's 1533-position model. The record is from RNAcentral.